UGGGGAAUUUUGGACAAUGGGCGAAAGCCUGAUCCAGCAAUGCCGCGUGUGUGAAGAAGGCCUUCGGGUUGUAAAGCACUUUUGUCCGGAAAGAAAUCCUUGGCUCUAAUACAGUCGGGGGAUGACGGUACCGGAAGAAUAAGCACCGGCUAACUACGUGCCAGCAGCCGCGGUAAUACGUAGGGUGCAAGCGUUAAUCGGAAUUACUGGGCGUAAAGCGUGCGCAGGCGGUUUGCUAAGACCGAUGUGAAAUCCCCGGGGCUCAAACCUGGGAACUGCAUUGGUGACUGGCAGGCUAGAGUAUGGCAGAGGGGGGUAGAAUUCCACGUGUAGCAGUGAAAUGCGUAGAGAUGUGGAGGAAUACCGAUGGCGAAGGCAGCCCCCUGGGCCAAUACUGACGCUCAUGCACGAAAGCGUGGGGAGCAAAACAGGAUUAGAUACCCUGGUAGUCCACGCCCUAAAACGAUGUCAACUAGUUGUUGGGGAUUCAUUUCCUUAGUAACGUAGCUAACGCGUGAAGUUGACCGCCUGGGGAGUACGGUCGCAAGAUUAAAACUUAAAUGAAUUGACGGGGUCAUAGCUGUUUCCU
This 589-nucleotide ribosomal RNA is filed under the name uncultured bacterium. Its description in RNAcentral is "partial 16S ribosomal RNA". It matches the Rfam family "Bacterial small subunit ribosomal RNA", at positions 355 to 1375 of the family's 1533-position model. The record is from RNAcentral.